UGAUCUUCUCCGUUGUGCCA
This 20-nucleotide non-coding RNA is filed under the name Arabidopsis thaliana (thale cress). The record is from RNAcentral. Lineage: Eukaryota; Viridiplantae; Streptophyta; Magnoliopsida; Brassicales; Brassicaceae.